This 429-nucleotide ribosomal RNA is filed under the name uncultured archaeon. RNAcentral's name for it is "bacterial SSU rRNA". It matches the Rfam family "Archaeal small subunit ribosomal RNA", at positions 474 to 903 of the family's 1478-position model. The record is from RNAcentral.
CACCAGCCCCUCGAGUGGUGGGGAUGAUUAUUUGGCCUAAAGCGUCCGUAGCCGGCCGGGUAAGUUUCCCGUUAAAUCCAAUGUCUCAAGCAUUGGACUGCGGGAAAUACUGCCUGGCUAGAGAGUGGGAGAGGUGUACGGUAUUCUGGGGGUAGGGGCGAAAUCCUUUGAUCCCCGGAGGACCACCAGUGGCGAAGGCUGUACACUAGAACACGUCUGACGGUCAGGGACGAAAGCUGGGGUAGCGAACCGGAUUAGAUACCCGGGUAGUCCCAGCUGUAAACGAUGCAUGCUAGGUGUUGGGUUGGCCACGAGCCACCCCAGUGCCGCGGGGAAGCCGUUAAGCAUGCCGCCUGGGAAGUACGAUCGCAAGAUUGAAACUUAAAGGAAUUGGCGGGGGAGCACCACCAGGCGUGAAGCCUGCGGUUU